CGCAGUAGCAAUACUGAGUGGCAAACGGGUGAGUAUAAUGUGGGAAUCUGCCUUUUGGUUCGGAAUAACACGAGGAAACUUGUGCUAAUACCGGAUAAGCCUUUACAGGGAAAGUUUUAAUGCCAAAAGAUGAGCCCGCACUUGAUUAGCUAGUUGGUAAGGUAAAAGCUUACCAAGGCAACGAUCAAUAGCUGUUCUUAGAGGAAGACCAGCCACAUUGGGACUGAGACACGGCCCAAACUCCUACGGGAGGCAGCAGUGGGGAAUCUUGCACAAUGGGGGAAACCCUGAUGCAGCGAUGCCGCGUGAGUGAAGAAGGCCUUUGGGUUGUAAAACUCUUUCGUCGGGGAAGAAAAUGACUGUACCCGAAUAAGAAGGUCCGGCUAACUUCGUGCCAGCAGCCGCGGUAAUACGAAGGGACCUAGCGUAGUUCGGAAUUACUGGGCUUAAAGAGUUCGUAGGUGGUUAAAAUAGUUGAUGGUGAAAUCCCAAGGCUCAACCUUGGAACUGCCAUCAAAACUUUUU
This 525-nucleotide ribosomal RNA is filed under the name uncultured Pelagibacterales bacterium. RNAcentral's name for it is "bacterial SSU rRNA". It matches the Rfam family "Bacterial small subunit ribosomal RNA", at positions 67 to 638 of the family's 1533-position model. Lineage: Bacteria; Pseudomonadati; Pseudomonadota; Alphaproteobacteria; Candidatus Pelagibacterales. The record is from RNAcentral.